RNAcentral lists this ribosomal RNA (399 nucleotides) under uncultured actinomycete. Its description in RNAcentral is "bacterial SSU rRNA". It matches the Rfam family "Bacterial small subunit ribosomal RNA", at positions 9 to 420 of the family's 1533-position model. Lineage: Bacteria; Bacillati; Actinomycetota; Actinomycetes; Actinomycetales. The record is from RNAcentral.
GAGUUUGAUCCUGGCUCAGAAUCAACGCUGGCGGCGCGCCUAACACAUGCAAGUCGAACGAGAAAGCCGGGGCAACCUGGUGAGUACAGUGGCGUACGGGUGAGUAACACGUGGGUAAUCUACCUCCUUGUGGGGAAUAACUUUGGGAAACCGGAGCUAAUACCGCAUAAGCUCGAGAGAGGAAAGCAGCAAUGCGCAGGGAGAGGAGCCCGCGGCCGAUUAGCUAGUUGGCAGGGUAAAAGCCUACCAAGGCAAAGAUCGGUAGCCGGCCUGAGAGGGCACACGGCCACACUGGCACUGAAACACGGGCCAGACUCCUACGGGAGGCGGCAGUGGGGAAUCUUGCACAAUGGGGGAAACCCUGAUGCAGCGACGCCGCGUGAGCGAUGAAGCCCUUCG